Molecule: ribosomal RNA, 623 nt
Filed under: Bathymophila sp. 7 LS-2013
Lineage: Eukaryota; Metazoa; Mollusca; Gastropoda; Trochida; Solariellidae
Also listed under: 1 other name
Description: partial 12S ribosomal RNA
Source: RNAcentral
GACAAACAGGUCAAAUUAAAAUUAAUGAUAGUAAAAAAGGAGGUUAUAAAUUUGUUUCGAGAAAUAAUGCUCUUUAGAGAGGUGAAAUUUAGAUAAAGAGAGGUAAAUUAGGUUUUUCUUUUUUUGACGCCUCGAAAUUUUGUUAUGAGACCGGGAUUAGAUACCCCGUUAUUCAAAAUGUAAACUUUGAUUGUAUUUAUGAUUUACUUGAGUAUUACGAGUAUAAAAGAUUUGUCUUAUAUAUUUCUUAAAACUCAAAAAACUUGGCGGUGCCUAUAUCCUUCCAGGGGAACCUGUCCUAUAAUCGAUAGUCCUCGAUUUAACUUUCUUUCUUUUGAAUUUUAUUAUCAGCUUGUAUACCGUCGUCGUCAGGUUACCUUUAAGAGUUAUGAAGUUAUCAGUGAGAACUAGGAGAAAUUUAAGUUUAUACACUGUAAGUUAUAGAUUGAUUUAUGUGAGUUCUAGACGUCAGAUCAAGGUGCAGCUUAUAGGGAAGUAGAGAUGGGUUACAAUAAUGAAUUAUUAUACGAAUUUUUGUUGUAAGUAGCAAAAUUGAAGGAGGACUUGGAAGUAAUUGGUUUAAAGAUAAGAGAGCUUAAAUGAAAAUAGGCUCUGAGGUGCGC